UACGUAGGAUGCAAGCGUUGUCCGGAAUUAUUGGGCGUAAAGAGCUCGUAGGCGGUCAGUCGCGUCUGCUGUGAAAACUCGGGGCUUAACUCCGGGCCUGCAGUGGGUACGGGCUGACUAGAGUGCGGUAGGGGAGACUGGAAUUCCUGGUGUAGCGGUGAAAUGCGCAGAUAUCAGGAGGAACACCGAUGGCGAAGGCAGCCCCCUGGGCCAAAACUGACGCUCAGGCACGAAAGCGUGGGGAGCAAACAGG
Molecule: ribosomal RNA, 253 nt
Filed under: uncultured bacterium
Lineage: Bacteria
Description: partial 16S ribosomal RNA
Rfam family: Bacterial small subunit ribosomal RNA
Source: RNAcentral